UCUCCGAGGUUUCUCCUGACAAGUAGGCGAAGCACAUUUUGGAUGAUGUGUGACGUGACACCAAUAGGGAGCAGUCGCAGCUAGGAAUCCGUCACAUCCCUCCUGUUCCAGUAUAGCAGCUGAUCGCAAAUGCCGUGGAAGGCAAGAUCUGCACUAAUAGUACCCCUGGAACACGGAUGAGAAGACGACGACGGACGAAACAUCCAUCCUGGCUGUCGUUCCAUGUGUUUUCGCUCACGUACAUUGAGAAGGACAUUUUUCGCAAGAAUCACAAGUGGUGGAUUUAAAGCCGGGGGAGUCGUCCUGUUUUUAAACCAGGAAUUCUGAAUGGAAGCAGAGGGAGCGGCUAGCCUGUCUGAGGUCGGGGAUGGCAGUCCGUUAUCUGGGGCCGCAGCAUCCGAUGAGACGGAAACAGUCAUUGGUGUCGGUUAUGGGAUGGAGGCAGGCGACAUGGAUGCUGCUGCCAGAAAGGCCUUCAUCACAGAGAUGCCCUCGUCAUCAGGUCUGCCAGGCUAUGGCCAGGGGAAGAAGAUCGGCCACAGGGGCGUGGACGCAUCCGGCGAGACCACAUACAAGAAGACCACCUCGUCAGCGCUGAAGGGGGCCAUUCAGCUGGGCAUCGGCUACACAGUGGGCAACCUGAGCUCCAAACCCGAGCGUGACGUGCUCAUGCAGGACUUCUACGUGGUCGAGAGCAUCUUCUUCCCCAGUGAAGGCAGCAAUCUGACUCCAGCCCACCACUACCCAGACUUCCGCUUCAAGACGUACGCACCCGUGGCGUUCCGCUACUUCAGAGAGCUCUUUGGAAUCAGACCAGAUGACUACUUGUACUCGCUGUGCAACGAGCCGCUGAUCGAGCUGUCCAACCCCGGGGCCAGCGGAUCCGUCUUCUACGUCACCAAGGACGACGAGUUCAUCGUCAAGACGGUCCAGCACAAGGAGGCGGAGUUCCUGCAGAAGCUGCUGCCCGGCUACUACAUGAACCUGAACCAGAACCCUCGCACGCUGCUUCCCAAGUUCUACGGCCUUUACUGUGUGCAGUCGGGUGGCAAGAACAUCCGUGUGUGUGUCAUGAACAACAUCCUGCCCCGCGUGGUGUCCAUGCACCUCAAGUACGACCUGAAGGGCUCCACGUACAAGCGGCGAGCCUCCAAGAAGGAACGGGAGAAGUCCAGACCCACCUUCAAGGACCUGGACUUCAUGCAGGACCUCCAGGACGGCCUGAUGCUGGACACGGACACCUACAACGCCCUGGUGAAGACUCUACAGAGAGACUGUUUGGUGCUGGAGAGCUUUAAGAUCAUGGACUACAGCUUGCUGCUGGGGGUGCACAACAUCGACCAGGCCAAGCGGGAGCAGCAGGUGGAGGGCUCGCAGGCGGCCAGCGACGAGAAGAGGCCCCUGCCCCAGAAGGCCCUCUACUCCACCGCCAUGGAGUCCAUCCAGGGCGGCGCCGCCUGCGGAGAGGCCAUCGACACGGAGGACACGAUGGGUGGCAUUCCAGCUGUCAACGGGAAAGGGGAGCGCUUGCUGCUCUACGUCGGAAUAAUUGACAUCCUGCAGUCUUACAGGCUGAUCAAGAAAUUGGAGCACACGUGGAAAGCUCUUGUUCACGACGGGGACACUGUGUCUGUCCACCGGCCUGGUUUCUAUGCAGAUCGCUUCUUCAAAUUCAUGAGCAACACCGUCUUCAGGAAGACCUCCUCCCUCAAGUGCUCACCCUCAAAGAGGGGUCGCGUGUCCUUGACGACGACGACGGUGCCCAAGUACGCAGGCCCCGGGGCGGCGUGGUCGGCCAGCCAGCUGCCCUCCGAGAGGGACGAGAACAUCUACGACCUACGAGGUGCCCGCAGUUUCCCCACAAUGGACGAUGAAGGCCGGCCAGACCUCCUGCCCUGCACCCCGCCGUCGUUCGAGGAGGCCACCACGGCGUCCAUCGCCACCACCCUCUCCUCCACCACCUCUCUGUCCAUUCCAGAACGCUCCCCGUCGGACACCUCCGAGCACCCCCGCUACAGGAGACACACCCAGUCCCUGAGCCACGAGGGCAGGACUCAGGAGGAGGACCAGCAGACCAUCACAGUGGAGGUGGAGGUAAAGAGGCACGACAGUGAGCCGACCAUCAGCGCCCCACAGCCCUCGCCAGAGACAAGUGAGGUGCCAGAGGCCUCUGCCUCUGCUGCUGCCGCUGCUGCCACCACCUCCGCUGCCGCCUCUGCCUCCGCCUCCCCCGUCCCGGCCAGUCCCAAGGUGAUGGUGGAGUCCGACCAGGUCAGCCAGACGUCCGGGUGUCCCAGCAGGGCUUCCAUAGACGAAGACGAGGACGUGCCAAUCACAGACAUCUACUUCGUAAGCAUCCUGUUCUUUCUCUUUCCAAAGCCCUGAAAUAAGAGAAGCAGCCGGUGAGAAAAGCCUCCAGCCCUGCUUUUAGAAAUGAACAAGAAGGUCCCAAGAAGACCGAAUGUACCCUCUGUGGAAACCCCACCCCCUCAUACAUUCCAUCUCAUACGUGUUUCUCAUACACACCGUCACUCUCUGUCACCAUAUCAUUGUAUGACCAUUUACAUAACAGAACUGACAACAGAGCAGAAUGACCGGGACAGCCAAAUCGAAAAGCUGUCAUGGUCACUAGUAGAGAAAGACCGGGGCUACACCAGGCACAUAACCAAAGCACUCUGUUUGCAGAGUGUAAAAAUAGUUCUAGGAGACGGUUUUUCAAAAUGUUUAAAGGCACAUGCUGCUAGCACGUCUGGUGUAGCCUGGUCCAUUGAUUAUAGUGGAAGCUAAUUAUUGCAUCAGACGCUCAGAAUGCUUCAGUUACGGGCCCGGUGUGGCCUCCCUGUAAGAGUCAGUGUCUGAUGCUCAGAAGGGAUGGGCUACUGUAACUGUACGUUGCCCCACAGAAACCCAGCGGAGAGGCCAGCGUGUAGCUGGGAAGGGUGAGCGAGCUGAGAUCGGAAUGCGAGUGCCAUGUGUGUGUGUGUGUGUGUGUGUGUGUGUGUGAUGAGUCGAGUGGCCCAGUCUGCCUCUGGUGUCGUCUCAGUCCCUGUCACCAGAUCGCCGGGGCUCGGAUCUCACUCUGAGAUUACGGUUAAAGCUGACACCCAGCACAGCGCCGGGCCCACAGAGAUAUCCUCCUCUGGCCCUGGCUGCUCUCCCUGAGACGGUCUUUCUGAGAUGGCGGGGAGCAGACUGAUGACACCUCCUCCCUCUUGAUCUCACAGCAUGCUGUCAACAUGCUCUGUUUAUGAGACUGCAUGUGUUUGUGUGUGUGUGUGUGUGUGUGUGUGUGUGUGUGCGUGCGUUCUUGCUGUUUUUCCUGUCUUUGCGUCAAUGUGGUAAUUGUCUUGCAUGCCCUGCUGUGAUCUGCCUAAAAAUAGAAUAAGACUUCUGCUUGGGUUGGGCCAUUAUGUUUUCCACUUCUUGCUAUAACUAGUGGUAAUUUGGUUAAACAGCGUGGGAUGGAUUGGAGUGACGAUUUGCGAUGUGUCUGUGUAUGUGUGUUUGCGUGUGGGGGCAAUGUCUUACUCAUGGGCUAAUUUAUGUGUUGAGUGGAGGCAAUGAUGAGGGUAGAGGCUAAAAGCAUCACAUUGUCACCCUCUGUCUGCUGUAAUCAUUGUAGGAAACUGGUUCACACCUAGGAAUAGAACCAUGAUACAUGAUUGUAUGGUCCGGAUGUGACACUUUUUCGUGCAGGCCAUAAACUAGGUAAUAAAGGUAAAGAUGUGUCCAGUCACUUAUGACCACAAAAGUGUGUGUGUCUGUGAGUGCCUUCACUGACGUUGGUUGAAAGUUGAUGAGGGAAAUGAUCAUCCUUGUUUAGCAAAAUGAAGUAAUUGGCACUUCGUAAACAACCCUGCCCUGAUUGAGCGGGGAGAUGGAGUUGGUUGAGUGGAGGUUUCCGAGACUGCUCUCUGCCCGUCCGCUCUCUCCAGAGCUCCUGCGUGGCAGUGGGGAGGUGGUGGCGUACCGCGCCGGCAUCGGGUCACAUCUGAAUUAUUCAGCCUCCGCCACCUUGCGUUACACACGCGCUCCUCUCCGCGCCCCCGGCUCGCUGCGCUGGAUUGAUCUCCGUCAACCGGCGCCACCCUCUGGGGGUGCUCUGGCUCCACUGGCACAGCCCAGAGAGAGAAGACCCAGCCGAGACACAGCAGGCCGCGCUGUAGUUGGACCAGACGGUAGACUUUAACGUGCCCCUUCAUCAAACAUUAUGCUCAUUUUAACACAAGCCAACCACCCAGCAACACACAUCACACAGUUUGUCUCUCUACAGUGGUAAUCACAAGGCCUCUCUACUUGGGUGCGGUGGUGGCGUCUGGGAGAGACUCAGUCAUCUCUCCACAAUGCCCCUUGGGAGCACAUCACUCUGAGUCACUCAUUUCUCAGUUGGCAUUGCAUAGGACUGGGAAACAGAUGUUCUGUCGUGCCACCCAUGCCAUCUUCAUUCCAGUGGUCUGUGCCAUCUCUCCUUAUCUCUCUCUUUUUUUUCCCGCUCUGUCUCACUUUUCCCCUCUCCAUCCUUCCACGCUGGCGGUGCUCCCAGUUUUCAGACGGUUGUCUGCAGGUGUCGUCUCUUGCACCACGGCCAGUCUCUAUUCUGUGCUGGAGUGUAAGUCCCACAGGCAUUUCAGUGUGCUGCUCUAGCUGCAUCCACAUAGUCCCCCCGACAUGUUAGAACACUGAUAGCUACCAAUGUUUUUUUCAGAAUGUGUACCAUCUCCAGUUAGCAUGGGUCAGUCAGAGUUGAAUUAAAGCCGCAGUCUGCAAUUCUAAUGUCAUAUUCUUUUCGUUAAAUUCAGCACAUUGCUUCUUCCAGUCCUCAUCCUGUAUGUUCAGUAUGUGCACUUGAAAAAUGGUAGUGUUCACACACAGGCUCUGGUUCUGUAAAUAGUACACAAGCAUAGUGGGUUGGACCGAGCAAUAAACAAUUCCAAACAAACAUGGAGCUUCAGGACCAUGGAAGGGAGAGGUGUAAUUAGAUUGGCUGUUCAAAUAUAAUAUCAACAACCUUUCAUAAGAAUUGCGGACUCCAUCUUUAAAUCUAGAUUUUGCUGUAAAGACAACAGAAAGAACUGUGAGUUAACAUAGUGUGAAAAGUUAUCCUUCCUGUAGUAACUCCCAGAACUGUAGAAAUUUGACAGUGUCACAAAACGCAGACAAGAUGGAGACGAGUAAGAUCAGCAGUCUCCUCUUUCCCUACCUCUUUCUUUGGUGUGAAAUUGGUGGGCUGAACCUCAGUGUUGCUCUUUUCACAUCAGCUUGUAAGACAUCUAUUUGACCAUUGGACUGGUGUUUGUAUAGCACAUGAAAAGCCCUCACAAAGACGCGUAUAGAGGGUCUUUUUUUCCCCCUAUCCCCCUGCCGCCAGAGCCCGUCACCCUCGGAACUGAGUACAGAGCUCCCAUUGAGAACUUAAUGGACUCCUGUAGGCGUGUGUGUUUAGGGAGGGUGCAGUUUGUAGUCCCUUUGCUGUGGCUGUCCUGGCACCGUUUCCUCCUGCCCACUUAAUUUGUCUCCUUUCCUGGCUGCAGCCACACAGCACCCCGUCACACUCCCCCUGUCCUGCUUGAACUCACCCCCACUUGCUAGAAGACAAGACGGGGGUCUGAAGAUCUCAUGUAGACAGCCACAGAGCAAUCCUCCCGUAUAGGCCUCUAGAGUUCCCAACCUUGAAUCAAUCUGAAUGCAUGAAGAGGAGUCGGUGGUGUUUUUGUCUUUGAUUUGAUCAUAGCAGUAUGCCCUCCGAGCCCUUGUUCUGUCUCUCUCUCUGUGUCCCCCAACCCUCCACCCCACCCUACACACUCCCUCAUCUUGUCCCCUUGCUGCAUUUCUAAUGUUCUUCUCCUGCCUUGUCUUCUCUUCACUUUCUCUCCCCCUCCUCCUCCUCUUUGCCUGCCUGUGCUGCCUUCUCUCUCUCUCUCUCUCUCUCUCUCUCUCUCUCUCUUUCUGUGUGCAUCGACGGCUUGCUUUGUGUGGUGCCCUCUGCUG
This is an RNA transcript of Sardina pilchardus (European sardine), 5988 nucleotides long. It is a transcript of the gene named phosphatidylinositol-4-phosphate 5-kinase, type I, gamma a, with no coding region annotated. The record is from RefSeq and is a predicted model, not a curated record. The transcript is spliced from 17 exons. NCBI's taxonomy places the organism in Eukaryota, Metazoa, Chordata, Actinopteri, Clupeiformes, Clupeidae.